CCCAGCCGGCACACGACCGACCUUCAACGUUGAAAUAUGGUUGAAAUAAGGUCAGUUGUGUUUUGAACGUUGAAAUAAUGUUGAUAGAACGUUUAAUGUUGAAUGGUUGAAAAACAGCCUGCACAUGACAAGGCUUCAACGUUGAAAUGUGGUUGAAAAUAUGUCAGUUGUUGCUUUAAUGUUGAAACAAUGUUGAAUGAUAAAUGGUUGAAAAAAGUUACAGAAAUCCUUGUACAAAUCAACGUUGACAUUUUUUUAUCAUGAUCUGUAUGUUGAAUUAACGUCAUGGCUUCACCCAAUAUUCAACAUGUUUGGUUACCAUGGUAUUGGAGGACUCCGCGCACGCGGCCACGCGCAGCGCUUCACUUCACUUAAUUACGAACACCUGACCUGCAGUGCAGCAGAAUUCCGAGAGACGCACUAACUUGCACAGCAUUGAAUGGAAAAGGCUUUGUCCAUGUCCAGUUGAGGGCAUCAAGAACACGCAGAUGGCCUAAACCUGUGUCAGCCUGGACAGACUGCAGUUCUGCUACUCCACGCCAAGGCUUUUGUAUGGAUGUCUUGACUACUACUGUGUUCUCUAAAGGUUUUCUGGAAGCUCCAUUUGAGGGCAUCAAGGACAUACUGAUGGCCUAAACCAGUGUCAGCCUAGACAGACAGACAUCUAUUGCAGUUCUGCUACACAAGACCAAACUCUCUGCUUUUGUAUGGAUGUCUGACUAGUAUGGUGUUCUCUAAAGGUGUAACUGGAGCAAAACAACAGCACCCGUUACAGUGAAAUUUGUGUUCAUAAAAGAUAGUGAUAUAUCAGGUAUAGUAACAGGUCCAGUACAUUUGUCAUAAAGGUUAAAUCACAGUAAGUACUGUAAAAAUAACUUGUUUGCCUUUGCCACAACAGGUCAUGGUGUGUGCAUACUACUCGUAGUAAACACACACGCUGAUCUGAUGGGGGAGAGAUAUACGCAAACACAUUUGUAUUUACUGUUUUGUUUUGCCUCACUAAAGUGUUGUUGGAGCUUGGUAUGUUCACAGUUGAAAUCACUGAAGUCACAUGGAACGUUUUGACAAUGUGUUUUGUGCCUUAUCUUGACAAUGACCAUCUUGGGACCAUUGCUGUCUGUAGAGGAUGAGGAGCAUUUAAUCUAAAAUAUUUUAGUUUGU
Molecule: long non-coding RNA, 1161 nt
Filed under: Danio rerio (zebrafish)
Lineage: Eukaryota; Metazoa; Chordata; Actinopteri; Cypriniformes; Danionidae
Description: si:ch211-15j21.2 (ENSDARG00000093338.4)
Source: RNAcentral